Long non-coding RNA from Notothenia coriiceps (black rockcod), 623 nucleotides. RefSeq lists it as uncharacterized. NCBI's taxonomy places the organism in Eukaryota, Metazoa, Chordata, Actinopteri, Perciformes, Nototheniidae. The transcript is spliced from 4 exons. The record is from RefSeq and is a predicted model, not a curated record.
AGGCCACUCCGAAGCCCAGUGAACCACAUGAGCCCGCAGGGACUCUGGGACCAGUCUGAGCACCCAGGGAUAAAGUAGCCAAGAAUAGCAACAGGAUCAGAACAACUGAAUGCUGUGGAGUCUUCAACAUACAGCAGAAACAGGGAAGGCCGUUUUGUGACUGAGAUCAGAAGAGAACUGAGAAAACAUUUUCUAUUAACCUAAGGAACAGAGCAAAUUCAUCCUCAGAGGAUAAAGAAGUUCAGGAACAAAGACACAAUCCUUCAAAACAUCAUCCCGCUGUCUCCUUGCCAAGCAGCCACUCAAGAAGCCUACCCCCCUGGACAAGAUGGUAACAGUUUGCUGUGCUCUCUGCAACGUCUGCCCAUCUGUGGUACCCACAGAAUGGACAGAUAGUAGUUCAGGUAGCCCCCUUGUUUGAACUCAGGAUGCCUCUGAUGAUGGCACUUGUCUUGGCCGUGGUCUUCAUGGGCCACUCCCCUAACAUGGCAGCACCUACAGGUGUGACAGAUGAUGAAGCUUUUGACCUUGAAAACUACAGCCUGAACAGUGAGAUGGACUGGGAGAACCUAGACGUCAACAUCUACGGAGACAGUUAUGAUUAUGAUGACUUGGACCAAGAG